This is a long non-coding RNA of Cucumis melo (muskmelon), 2397 nucleotides long. RefSeq lists it as uncharacterized. The transcript is spliced from 4 exons. Lineage: Eukaryota; Viridiplantae; Streptophyta; Magnoliopsida; Cucurbitales; Cucurbitaceae. The record is from RefSeq and is a predicted model, not a curated record.
CCGCUGCCUCCUCCAUCUUCACCCAAAAACCUUCACUCCCAACAAUGGCUACCUCCUCCCUCUUCAACCCCACCAUUUCUUUCCCUUCUCGCAACCCCAAGCUUCAAUCCACCCCAAAAUUCCGCAACCCCAUUCUCAGAAUCCCUAAAGCUACCUCUGAUUCCUCCCCCUCUCCACCAACUGACGGCUCUCCCCCAUUGUCCACUCUCAAGAACCGUCGUUCUGCCGACGAGAACAUCAAAGAUGAAGCCCGUCGCCACUGUGCAGCCUCCGGAGAAGAUCGGAGCAAAUUCUCGGCCAAGUACGUCCCUUUUAACGCUAGCCUCGACUCCACUGAGUGCUACUCUCUCGACGAGAUCGUUUACCGAAGUCGAUCUGGUGGGUUACUCGACAUUCAACACGACAUGGAGGCAUUGAAGAAAUAUGACGGCGCCUAUUGGCGAAACCUCUUCGAUUCGCGCGUGGGGAAAACUACGUGGCCUUAUGGUUCCGGCGUUUGGAGUAAGAAGGAAUGGGUGUUGCCGGAGAUCGAUCCUGACGAUAUUGUCGGCGCUUUCAAAGGUAACUCAAACUUGUUUUGGGCUGAGCGUUUUGGCAAACAGUUUCUGGGUAUGAAUGAUUUAUGGGUUAAACAUUGUGGGAUUAGCCAUACUGGGAGUUUCAAGGAUUUGGGUAUGACUGUUUUGGUUAGCCAAGUGAAUCGGUUAAGGUAUGACUGUUUUGGCAAACACUUUCUUGUGAGAGGAACACCUUGUACAGUGUUCACAAAAUCUAACGAACCCAAGUUUGUGGAACAAAGAAAACUUCAACAAAUUUAUAAUAGGAAGAAAGUUUUAUGGAAGAAAAAUGUUUAUGAGAAAGGUUAAAAACCAAUUCGAAGAAAAAACAUAUUUAUAGAUUCAUGACCAUUUGGAUAGUCUAUUCCUCAAGUUGGUUAAAAUUUGAAAUGGUGUCUAUUCAUAAAGGAACAUGCUACUCAUGGAGUUAAAAGGAUACAACCCUAUACGAAUAGUUGUCUACAGUUUAUUCCAAUGUAUACAAUAUACAUGGUGAAGUGGACCAAGAAUUUUCAACCUUGUUAAAAAAAAAGGAUUUAUGUGAAGGUUAAGACAAACAGAAAGGUAAAAGAUUCUUCUCCUACCCCUCUCUCAACCACUGAUAAAGAGCCUAGUUGAAUUUGAAUUUAAGAGCUAGCUCAUGUGAGCAACAAUAGAACGACUUUGAAUAUAUAAACUAUACAAGAGAAAAUGAUAAGUAUACAAUGCUUUAAACUUCCCUUCUUUUCUAUGUUUAUGCUCAAAUCUUGUCUUCAUCUUUAUUUUUUGUUUGUUUCAAAUAUUUGGGGAAUGCGAUUUUGGUUUUGAAACUGAUGGAGAUGAAAUUAAGGAACCAAAUGAUGAGUGUUUUCAAAAGAAGACGCAACCAUGAUGUGAACCGAACAGCUUUUAGCUAUUGAGGAUUAAUUUUGGUCGAGGAUGGUUCUUUCUUUCUUUUAUUAUUAUUAUUAUUAUUUUUGUGGGUUUUGAACUUUUGUCCUUCUCAAUAGAUACACCUACUUGACUUGGCCAAAAUUGGUAAUUCUGAUGGUUCCUUAGUUCAUCAUUCCUCUAUGAAAUUUUAGUUUUGAUUUUAGAAGUAUUCUUUCUCUCAGGACUUCCAAAUCUAUCUUCAUACUUCAUUUUGAUUGACAUGGUUUGGAUGAAUUAGAAUAAUUUUCAAUAGUUUCUGGAUGGUGGGCUGGUUAACAAAGUUUGUUGCAUGUUUUCUCAAUGUGCAAUUGUGUUAAUUCUAAAAUUUGAAUUUGUAGUCGCAACUUAAACCAUUCACAUUUUAAGUGAUGGAUAGUACAGUUAACAUGGAUGUGGACAAGACUUUUGUUCGAGAUUUGGACUACUGAAACACAACCGUGUCUGGCUAUGAGUUGAAUGAGGAAAAUAAACUGUACAAGUCCUCUGUGAUGGUUACAGCCGGUGCAAAUCAGGCAUUCGUUAACCUUGUUCUUACAUUGUGUGAUGCUGGGGAUUCUGUGGUUAUGUUUGCUCCGUAUUACUUCAAUGCCUACAUGUCUUUUCAAAUGACUGGUGUCACUAAUAUAUUGGUUGGUCCCAGUGGCCCAAAAACACUUCAUCCUGAUCCAGAUAAUUGAAGUGAUAUCGGGUUGAAAGCUAAGCGAUUGUGUAGAAAUGGUCAAGCGACCGUUGAAAAUUGAAGACUGAGAAGGCAUUUAGGAUUUUUAAUUAUUUAAUUCUUGUAUUAGAAUUUUUUUUCAUGUACUAUUGUAGAAAUGUAUAUAUAAACAUAAUAUUAAUAUUUUAUUUUGUGUAUUCAAAUGUAAAAGACAAAUGUUAUAGUUUCUAACAUAAUAUGAAUUUCAUUGAUUUGUUGGCGUGUGAAAAA